UUAUGCCCAAAAUGCAAAUGAUGAUACUCACAGUUCGGCUUCUCCUUUUCCUCCUCCAUUCAGUAGCGAAGCAGUGAGACUUAACAUCUCCUCCUCCAUUCUUUUAAGAUUUGAGUGGAUAAGAAGAACGAAUCACCUCAAAAACGACAACAGCGAAACAGGAUUUAGCUGAUAGGAAGUUGUAACGCAGAAUGAGGCAAAAGCAAUAUCAGUAGCAGAUUUGAAGAAAGACACUAGACUAAAAGAAUGGACGUUGGUGCUAGUUUAGGAUUCCAAAUCUUGGAUCCACAGACUUAACAUCUCUUUCUACGCACAGCUCCGAGAAUCUCCAUGAGAUGAAGCUGAUAUCUUCCCCUUAUUAUUUGAUAUUGGUAGAAAUCAUGGGAACUUCGUGGUCAGCUUUAUAAAGGAGGUCAUUCAAGAGAUGGAGCCUUCCUGUGAAGGAGAAUUGUGUUUUGAUAGUGCAAAUGUAGCUGCAUUGUUGGUGUUAGCCAUCUCAGUACCUCUUUCACAUGAACAUAGUCCCUGCAACAUUCCACCAAGAAUUUUUUCCUAUGCACUUCCUUUUCUUGGAAGGAUCUCUCGCUCAUUGAAUGAUUCUAUAAAUUGAGAUGCCAUUUUAGCUUACUUGUUUCACUACAGUGGAUCCAUUCUACCUCUUGCCACAGAGUUGAACUUUUAGGGGAAAUGAGCUUGUCUUACCCGUUGCUGAAGGUGGUGGCCCAAGUCACAGUGAUCAUGAGGGAGCUAAUCCUCUAGAAGUUCUCUUGCAACAAAUCAGUAACUGUGGUAAUAGCUCUGAUGCUCAAUCUAU
This is a non-coding RNA of Nelumbo nucifera (sacred lotus), 814 nucleotides long. NCBI's taxonomy places the organism in Eukaryota, Viridiplantae, Streptophyta, Magnoliopsida, Proteales, Nelumbonaceae. The record is from RefSeq and is a predicted model, not a curated record.